Molecule: ribosomal RNA, 465 nt
Filed under: uncultured bacterium
Lineage: Bacteria
Description: bacterial SSU rRNA
Rfam family: Bacterial small subunit ribosomal RNA
Source: RNAcentral
UCCCAGACUCCUACGGGAGGCAGCAGUGAGGAAUAUUGGUCAAUGGCCGGAAGGCUGAACCAGCCAUGCCGCGUGAAGGUCAGUGCCCUAUGGGCGUUAAACUUCUUUUGUGCGGGAGCAAUAAUGGUCACGUGUGGCCAGACGAGAGUACCGUACGAAUAAGCAUCGGCUAACUCCGUGCCAGCAGCCGCGGUAAUACGGGGGAUGCAAGCGUUAUCCGGAUUUAUUGGGUUUAAAGGGUGCGUAGGCGGGCUGUUAAGUCAGCGGUCAAAUGUCGGGGCUCAACCCCGGCCUGCCGUUGAAACUGGCGGCCUCGAGUGGGCGAGAAGUAUGCGGAAUGCGUGGUGUAGCGGUGAAAUGCAUAGAUAUCACGCAGAACUCCGAUUGCGAAGGCAGCAUACCGGCGCCCGACUGACGCUGAGGCACGAAAGCGUGGGUAUCGAACAGGAUUAGAUACCCGAGUAU